Impatiens glandulifera is the source of this 581-nucleotide long non-coding RNA. RefSeq lists it as uncharacterized. The transcript has 4 exons. The record is from RefSeq and is a predicted model, not a curated record. NCBI's taxonomy places the organism in Eukaryota, Viridiplantae, Streptophyta, Magnoliopsida, Ericales, Balsaminaceae.
UUUUGAGAUCUCCUAGUUCGUUAUCCGAGGAUUUGAAUCUAUUUUCAUCGUCUUUAAUUUCAACUCUAUUUCAAUACUUCGAGGUCGGUAAUCGGUUUGUUCGCGAAGACGCUUCAUCUCCUCUAUCAGGUCUAUCGUCCAUUUACAAACACGCACAAACAAGCCCUAACUCAACAAUGGAGACUGGAGUGUGGCACCUCCCGGUUAGAGAUCGAGAAGGAGAGGAGAAAUAAGAGAAUUUGAUCAUAUGGUGGUUAUUGUUGCUAGGGAUAUGAACUGCAACAUUCAGAUCAUAUCGACUUGUUCAUCAUCGUCUAAUUCUGAGCUCAUUUUCUCCUUCACGGCGAGCGGGUCUCUUCACAAGCAAGACAAAAAUCUUAUCGGGUGCAUUUCAUUUGUGGUAGAGUCAAAGUGUACCACUUGAAUAGCCAUUUACGGGUGAAUCUAUCUCAUUUGUGAAGACAACAAGGAGAUGAAAAGUUUGGAGGAAGAAGAUGAAUUGUUUAAAUAAAGUCUGGUGAGAAUUUGAUCUAUAAAUUAGUAUUAUUAUUUUUUACAAAUUUUAAUUUUAUUAGUAUUUU